Molecule: ribosomal RNA, 508 nt
Filed under: uncultured bacterium
Lineage: Bacteria
Description: partial 16S ribosomal RNA
Rfam family: Bacterial small subunit ribosomal RNA
Source: RNAcentral
AUUGAACGCUGGCGGCAUGCCUUACACAUGCAAGUCGAACGGCAGCGGGGGAGAAGCUUGCUUUUCCUGCCGGCGAGUGGCGAACGGGUGAGUAAUACAUCGGAACGUGCCCUGUAGUGGGGGAUAACUAGUCGAAAGAUUAGCUAAUACCGCAUACGACCUGAGGGUGAAAGUGGGGGACCGCAAGGCCUCACGCUAUAGGAGCGGCCGAUGUCUGUUUAGCUAGUUGGUGGGGUAAAGGCCUACCAAGGCGACGAUCAGUAGCUGGUCUGAGAGGACGAUCAGCCACACUGGGACUGAGACACGGGCCAGACUCCUACGGGAGGCAGCAGUGGGGAAUUUUGGACAAUGGGCGAAAGCCUGAUCCAGCAAUGCCGCGUGUGUGAAGAAGGCCUUCGGGUUGUAAAGCACUUUUGUCCGGAAAGAAAUGGCUCUGGUUAAUACCUGGGGUCGAUGACGGUACCGGAAGAAUAAGGACCGGCUAACUACGUGCCAGCCGCCGCGGUAA